This 253-nucleotide unclassified non-coding RNA is filed under the name uncultured Alphaproteobacteria bacterium. RNAcentral describes it as "contains 16S-23S intergenic spacer region". It matches the Rfam family "Bacterial small subunit ribosomal RNA", at positions 524 to 776 of the family's 1533-position model. Lineage: Bacteria; Pseudomonadati; Pseudomonadota; Alphaproteobacteria. The record is from RNAcentral.
UACGAAGGGGGCUAGCGUUGUUCGGAAUUACUGGGCGUAAAGCGCGCGUAGGCGGGCAUUUAAGUCAGGGGUGAAAUCCCAGGGCUCAACCCUGGAACUGCCUUUGAUACUGGAUGCCUGGAGUUCGGGAGAGGUGAGUGGAAUUCCGAGUGUAGAGGUGAAAUUCGUAGAUAUUCGGAGGAACACCAGAAGCGAAGGCGGCUCACUGGUCCGAUACUGACGCUGAGGCGCGAAAGCGUGGGGGGCAAACAGG